ACCGAAUGAACAGCUGAUGAUGACAAAUAAUAAACAAACAAAUAAUUUUAAAGUAAACAAUUGAGACAGACAAUAGUGAUAGGUUCACGAUUUAGUUGAUUAAUACAUUUAUUAUGUUAAGUUUGUAUUAUUGUGGUGCUUGAUAAGUUUUGUUAGCUAAUAAUCAAUUCAUGUAAGAAAAAGUUCAUGUUGUUAUACUUUUAGAAUUUUUGUAGGCCUCUAGCGAGUGAGUUGGAAUCAACAAGUUAUAUACUUUGCUGGCAAAAUGGUUUAUGCAUUUAUAAUGCAAACAUUGGAUUCUGAAGAACCAGAACUAGCCUACUACAGAUUUUAUUCGGCUUGGCUCAGUAAUGAUACUCCAUUUAUGACUGGUAAUGAAAAAGAAAAAGGAUGUUUGUAUGAUUCUAGUAUUGAGAAGAAAAAUCUACUAUAUUUUAUUAUAAAGAAGGUUCACAUGCUGUACUCUUUAAAGCUAAAGCAAUCUCUUAUACCAAUCCAAAACAAAGAUAUGAAGACAAUAAUAAGAGGAUCUCACAAAGAAAGUAACUGGAAAUCCCAAGAAUUUAAUGUUGUUUGGGAAGGUGUACCUGGCAUUGGAUUCUCAUUAAUAUUUGAAAAAGAUGGAAAUAUGCUACUUGCUCAAAAUGUUCUAGAUCUAAUAGUGUCUGAACUGGAAAAACACAUUCAGCUUGUUUCAUAUCCCUCAAGCGCAGUAAAAACACUAGACACCAUUGCUAUGAUCGUAGAUAAAUUUUUACCUGGUGGACAAUUACUUUUUCUAAACAGCACUUUGGUAAAGAACUUAGAAAGACAACUGGAAGCUGAUUUAAAAUCAUAAUUCUGCACCCCACAGCUUUACCAUCUUUUUGAUUAAAUUACAUAUGAAUGAUUCAUUCCAUUGAAAGGUCAAACAGGAAAAAAGGGAAGUGGUGGAGUCCUAGCAUUUUUAAUAUUGUUCCAUUAUAUAACAUUAGUUUUAAUUAUUUCAUAAAUGUUAAAGAACAAAUUUUUUAUAAAUAUUAUAGUUCAAAUAAAGAAUUAUAAGCCUUUUUAUGAGGAUAUGAUGUAAUUGAUAAAUUAAAGUACUUUUUCAAAAUAGA
Homalodisca vitripennis (glassy-winged sharpshooter) is the source of this 1100-nucleotide long non-coding RNA. RefSeq lists it as uncharacterized. The transcript has 3 exons. The record is from RefSeq and is a predicted model, not a curated record. Lineage: Eukaryota; Metazoa; Arthropoda; Insecta; Hemiptera; Cicadellidae.